CCCUGAGUACAGCGGCGUACGGGUGAGUAACACGUGGGUAAUCUACCUUCUGGUGGGGGAUAACCCUGGGAAACCGGGGCUAAUACCGCAUAAGCCUGAAAAGGGAAAGCAGCAAUGCGCUGGAAGAGGAGCCCGCGGCCGAUUAGCUAGUUGGUGAGGUAACGGCCCACCAAGGCGAUGAUCGGUAGCCGGCCUGAGAGGGCACACGGCCACACUGGCACUGAAACACGGGCCAG
RNAcentral lists this ribosomal RNA (236 nucleotides) under uncultured bacterium. RNAcentral describes it as "partial 16S ribosomal RNA". It matches the Rfam family "Bacterial small subunit ribosomal RNA", at positions 84 to 334 of the family's 1533-position model. The record is from RNAcentral.